UCGAGAAUAAUUCGCAAUGGACGAAAGUCUGACGAUGCGACGCCGUGUGAACGAUGAAGGCCUUCGGGUUGUAAAGUUCUGUCGCCUGUGAACAAGAGUAUGCGGUAAAUAAUCGCAUACUUUGAGUGUAACAGGAAAGGAAGCACCGGCUAACUCCGUGCCAGCAGCUGCGGUAAUACGGAGGGUGCAAGCGUUAGUCGGAAUUAUUGGGCGUAAAGGGUGCGUAGGCGGGAAUAUAAGUCAGAUGUGAAAAACUAAGGC
Molecule: ribosomal RNA, 261 nt
Filed under: uncultured Chlamydia sp.
Lineage: Bacteria; Pseudomonadati; Chlamydiota; Chlamydiia; Chlamydiales; Chlamydiaceae
Description: partial 16S ribosomal RNA
Rfam family: Bacterial small subunit ribosomal RNA
Source: RNAcentral